GCCACCCAACCCCAUCAACCCCAUCUCCUGGAAAUUGUGGAACUCCACCGAGCGUGCCCACUCCAUCAAGACCACCAAGUGAUCCUACUCCAACACCAUACACGCCUACACCAUCAACACCACCUAGUGUGCCUACUCCAUCAACACCUUCAAAUCCUCCUCCCAGCGGUGGUGGAUACUACCCCACUCCUCCAAGCACUGGUGGUAGUCCUCCAACACCUGUCAUUGAGACCCCACCGACACCCAUCACUCCAACUCCAAGUACCCCUUACAUUCCCUCGCCUCCGUUCAUUCCUGAUCCAAAUUCACCAUUCACAUGCACGUAAGCUUCUUACACUAAUUUAUUUUUGAUAAUGCAGUAACCAAAU
RNAcentral lists this long non-coding RNA (368 nucleotides) under Manihot esculenta (cassava). RNAcentral's name for it is "long non-coding RNA (MESC_LNC000530)". The record is from RNAcentral. Lineage: Eukaryota; Viridiplantae; Streptophyta; Magnoliopsida; Malpighiales; Euphorbiaceae.